AGAGUUUGAUCCUGGCUCAGGAUGAACGCUAGCGGCAGGCCUAAUACAUGCAAGUCGAACGGUAAGUCCCGCUUCGGCGGGAACACGAGUGGCGCACGGGUGCGUAACGCGUAUGCAACCUACCUUUAACUGGGGAAUAGCCCCGAGAAAUCGGGAUUAAUACCCCAUAAUAAUAAAAUUUGACAUCAUUUUUUAUUUAAAGCUCCGGCGGUUAAAGAUGGGCAUGCGUGACAUUAGCUGGUUGGUGAGGUAACGGCUCACCAAGGCAACGAUGUCUAGGGGUUCUGAGAGGAUAACCCCCCACACUGGUACUGAGACACGGACCAGACUCCUACGGGAGGCAGCAGUGAGGAAUAUUGGUCAAUGGGCGAAAGCCUGAACCAGCCAUGUCGCGUGCAGGAUGACUGCCCUAUGGGUUGUAAACUGCUUUAAUACGGGAAUAACCCUUUCCACGUGUGGGAAGUUGAACGUACCGUAUCAACAAGGAUCGGCUAACUCCGUGCCAGCAGCCGCGGUAAUACGGAGGAUUCGAGCGUUAUCCGGAUUUAUUGGGUUUAAAGGGUGCGUAGGCUGUAUCAUAAGUCAGUGGUGAAAACCUUCAGCUCAACUGAAGAUGUGCCAUUGAAACUAUUUUACUUGAAUACAGAUGAAGUAGGCGGAAUACGAUAUGUAGCGGUGAAAUGCUUAGAUAUAUCGUGGAACACCGAUUGCGAAGGCAGCUUACUAAACUGUCAUUGACGCUGAUGCACGAAAGCGUGGGUAGCGAACAGGAUUAGGUACCCUGGUAGUCCACGCCGUAAACGAUGAUCACUCGAUGUGUGCGAUACAUUGUGCGCGUCUGAGCGAAAGCAUUAAGUGAUCCACCUGGGGAGUACGUCGGCAACGAUGAAACUCAAAGGAAUUGACGGGGGCCCGCACAAGCGGAGGAACAUGUGGUUUAAUUCGAUGAUACGCGAGGAACCUUACCUGGACUUAAAUGCACAUUGACCGGCAGAGAAAUUUGCUUUCCCUUCGGGGCAAUAUGCAAGGUGCUGCAUGGUUGUCGUCAGCUCGUGCCGUGAGGUGUCGGGUUAAGUCCCAUAACGAGCGCAACCCCUAUCGUUAGUUGCUAACAGUUAAAGCUGAGGACUCUAGCGAGACUGCCACCGUAAGGUGUGAGGAAGGUGGGGAUGACGUCAAAUCAGCACGGCCCUUACGUCCAGGGCUACACACGUGUUACAAUGGCCAGAACAAAGGGCAGCUACCUGGCAACAGGAUGCUAAUCUCCAAAACUGGUCCCAGUUCGGAUCGGAGUCUGCAACUCGACUCCGUGAAGUUGGAUUCGCUAGUAAUCGCGUAUCAGCAACGACGCGGUGAAUACGUUCCCGGGCCUUGUACACACCGCCCGUCAAGCCAUGGAAGCUGGGGGUGCCUGAAGGCUGUAACCGCAAGGAACGGUCUAGGGUAAAACUAGUAACUGGGGCUAAGUCGUAACAAGGUAACC
This 1483-nucleotide ribosomal RNA is filed under the name uncultured bacterium. RNAcentral's name for it is "bacterial SSU rRNA". It matches the Rfam family "Bacterial small subunit ribosomal RNA". The record is from RNAcentral.